UCACGAGCAAACGAGAAUUCUAAAUAGAAUCAGGGUUUCAUUCGAUCCUCCGCUGAAGCGAGCCGCAGCUGUUCGACUCCUACGCUCGCCCCCGUCUUCGAUCUCUCUCUCUCUCUCGCGAUGGGUUCCGAGAAGAAGCUGUCGAACCGGAUGCGGGAUAUCAAGGGCCAGAACCUCGUCCGCAACGUCUCUGUGGCAGAGAGUCGCGAUCGCUUCACUAGAGCAGCUAAGAUCUGAUCCUUCAACUGGUAUCUAUGGCAUGGAUUUCUAUGUCGUCUUGGAGCGAGCUGGCUGUCGUGUGAGCCAUUAACACCGAUGCAGCAUCACCAAGGAGGACGCAAUGAAGUGGUUCCAAGUGAAAUAUGAGGGUGUCAUCUCCAACAAGGUUCAGGCAGUCACAGGUCCUUGGAGUUUGGUAUGACUAACCCUGAAAGUUGUUCUACAGAUAAAUUAGCGCUUGUCUUCUUUUUUCUCUUCAUCAGAGUUUUUUUUUUUACACAAAAAAGAAAUAAGCUACUGUUCCAAUUUUGUGUGACAAAGAAAUUUGUGCUUUUAGCAGUUGGAGAUGUUAUUUUGUUGCUAGUGUAUGACUUCAUUAUA
Musa acuminata subsp. malaccensis (wild Malaysian banana) is the source of this 600-nucleotide non-coding RNA. The record is from RefSeq and is a predicted model, not a curated record. Lineage: Eukaryota; Viridiplantae; Streptophyta; Magnoliopsida; Zingiberales; Musaceae.